Columba livia (rock pigeon) is the source of this 3876-nucleotide long non-coding RNA. RefSeq lists it as uncharacterized. NCBI's taxonomy places the organism in Eukaryota, Metazoa, Chordata, Aves, Columbiformes, Columbidae. The transcript has 6 exons. The record is from RefSeq and is a predicted model, not a curated record.
UCAAUAGGUCUGUGGAAUUCCAGAAAUGCAUGUGGCAACUGCUGGCUCCAGCUUCUGGCUCCAGAGAAUUGCUUCUCCAUGUGGGAACAUCUUAUGCUCUUUUUCAGUGAUUUUUCUCAUGAGGAUGGUGUGGUUUUUGCUCUCUGCCUUCAGACUGGUCCAUACUACAGACCUGAACACGCUUCUGAGCACCUGAGUGUCCCUGGGGCGAAUGGCCGUGCCAGCCUGCCAGCAAGGGCUUCCCGUAUGCCAGAGAGGCUUCAGAUGAAGGAGCAGGGUGCUCAAGGCAAGAGACAUUUUGGUGUCCUUUUCUGCACUUGAGAAUACUUCUCAUUACUGCAUGGAUUCCAGUUUAAAAUUAUGUUACUUCCCAACAUGAGCUGGCUUCAAUUCCCUUUGAAAUGGUCCACCAGGCUGAGAUGGGGAUACAUGGAUCAUCACAGGCUGUCCUCAAUGACAGGGAACUUCCAGGAGUUCCUCUGGCUUCAAAAGCUCCACCCCAUCUGUCUAGAGUGGUCUGCUGUUGGACACCAUCAAGGACCCUGCCCUGCUGGGCAGCUAUCUGAGACACUGCCAGAACACACUGUGUAAGUGGGGUUCUCACAAGCUGGAGAGACCACCAGGACAUGGACAGACCAUGGUGCCUGGGUACCUGGGAGGCUGGGAGCCCAUUUUGUGGCCACACACUGAAUGAAGACUGAUGUGUAGAGCAAUGUGGGAGAGAAUGGGGGAUGGCUAUGACGGCUGUGGCUGGCUGCACCACCAGGCUGACCAGCAGUUUGGCCGGAACGCCUACCAGUGAGAAAGACUUAGGACUGUCAGAUUUAACCAAGGUUUUUGGCAGCCCCAGGCUAUAAGAUCCUCGGUUUGAAGGUCUGCAAGGCAGGGUUAAGCUGCAAUGCAUGGUGACAGGAGCUGGAAUGGGGUCCUGGGCUGUGGGCAAGGGCAGAUGCGAAAGGAUGAGCCUGUGGUGCCUUCCCACUAUCUGCCACCUCAGAGGUGUUUGUGGUUCUGCCCUCCUGCAUCAGAUAAUGUUUGUCACAUCUUUAAAAGUCCAUACUUUUUUUACUUGACCUGAUUACUUCAGGCUUGCCACAUAGGGUGUGAGUUGUGCUGCUUCUCAAGACUCAGCAGCGCCUUGUCUGAGCUUUGGAUGAGAGCUCAGUUCAUCAGAUGCCUGGUGCUUCAGGUGCCCUUAAUUACUGACCUGUCAGUCUCCAACGAUAUUUGAAGAACCGGUACAGCAAUCAAUUCAAUACUAAAUAAUUAAAGGAAGGUGAUAGGAUUAGUGUUGCAUAACCUGAAUUUAUGAAAGAUAUUACAUUCUCAUUUUAAAAACAAUGUUCAAUUAGUUUGAGAAUUUUGGCUGAUAAACAUGGUGUUACUGUAGCAAUACUCUUAGCCUUGUGUAAUUAAGCUUGCUUAAUCUUAAAUGGUAUUCUGACUGAGAUAAAAAGUAAGACAAAGUUGACAAUGUAUCAUUGUCUUUUUCAGGAGAGAUUCAGAAGAAAACAAUUUUUAUUGACAAUGUUGGAGGAAUUAGUAAAAAAAAAAAAAAAAAACCUGGCACAAGCAAAUAAUGCAUAUUUCAGUUAGGUAAAAUACAGUAUAACUAGGAACAAAAAAUGCCAAUCACAUUUGCCUAAUAAGGUGUUCUGUUGUGCAGAGCAGUAAUUCUGGAAGAGAUUAGGGCUCAUUGAUAGAUAAUCUGUAGUAAUGAAAUUGCAACAUGGUGUUGGGACCUUCAAGGCCAACGCUGUUCUAGAAUGUAGUCCCCAGCUUGUCAUAGAGCAGGAGCUCAGUGAGGUUUGUUGCCUCCACAGUUGACAAGGGUGCAGCUGGCAUAUGGUGUCCAGUUCUGGAGUUCACACUCCAAAAGUGUUGUAAAAAACUCAGAGAAAGUUCAGCUCAGACCAAUACUGUGUGAAGGCCUGAAGAACCUCCCACAGGAGACACAAAGUCUACUGAUCUUCUCGAAACGCUGAGAAAAGGGAGUGACAGAGCACCUCUGGCGGGCACCUGGCAUCCAGCCAGGGUCAGCUCACCACAAUAUACCACAGACUACAUAUAUAUAACAUGCAAGAAGGUUCAGGAAUGAGAACAACAAACCAGAUGUCAUCACUAUUACUCGAAACUCUUCUUUCAAACGUCUCAGAUGUUAGGAGUCUAGACCAGUGAGAAAUUAUAGCUGCUUCUACAGGCUUCUUCUUUAUUCUUUCAUUAGGACUGUAUAUUCAAAUAAGCAAUGUCUCUUUUCUCUCCUUUCCCAGCUCAGACCAUUAGAGCUUUGACAAUAUAUAUGUUCAUUCAAUUUCUGGGUUUAGAUUUCAUUACUGCUUUUAGUAAGGUGGAAAAGUUAUUUUUGCAGUGCAAGUCUAUGAAAUCCUAGAGUUAUUCCUCCGAGGCCUUUUACCCCAUGUUUGGAAAAAAAAAAAUCAGCUAUUAGAUGUGAACUGCUUCAGCAACAUGGCUUGGUUUAUUAACUAGAUGAUAGCAAUAAAGUUGGCAAAGCAUUACUUGACAAAUUAAAAAUUCUCUACUGUCUCAUUCUCCACACUGCAGCAAACAUCAGAUCCAGCCUUGGAAGCAGCAUUAAAAAUCAGGUCUUUAGUGGACAUCUGAUGCUUUAUUUUGUAUAUUACACCACACUACAUAUUAUGUCUUCAAAUCACUUUUUGACUUGUAUAAACAAGGAAAAACAAGGCAUAGAUAACUGCAUGUGUAAAAAGGCACCUGAGAUGGUUUUGUAAGUCUUCCUUGACUGAUCUUAAGAGACUUGUGUAGUACAAGCUAUUUUUAACUGUCUCUUACUGUGUAAGCACCGAGAAGUAAGUGUCUUCUCUGCAAGACCCGUGCUUGCUGCGUAGGUGCACCUGCUGGGGUUGUCCUUUUGUCAGGCAGGCACAAGGAAGGGAUACAGAGAUAUUUUUAAUCUUUGUACAUAAAUAUUUUCCCCUUCUAAUCAUGAAGGACAGCGUUUUGGGACAAGGACUACGUCACCCAGUGAGUCAGGAGAACUGCCCGUAGGACAGUUUAUUGUUUCCAGCCAGCAUGCAGCUUGCCAGAAGUGCAGACAUACUUUGCUUCCAUCAGUUCUCAGCAGCUCAGCCCUCAGCUCAUAGUGAACACUCUCCUCCAGCAUUUCAUCAGAAAUGGCCCUCAGACGUGCUUUCUCCCACUGUUGUUUCACAAGAGCCUCUUCAGUUCCCGUGCCAGGGAUCCAACCUUCCUGUAAAAGUAUCGCCAAAGUGAUAUUUCUGUGCUAUCCCGCUUCCCCUUGGGCUGAGGGCAGGAGUCACCCCACAGUUACACCAGGUGUUCAGCACCAGCUUCUCUGCUUGGCAUUUCCCAGGAUGCAGACCAGGUUUGCUUGUUUGUGCUUUGGUGAUGUCCUCAAAACUUUCUCCCCAGGCCAGCCCAGGCUCUGGAGAAGGAACACAUCACCCACGAAGCUGUCCCUGGUAACUACCCCAUCACCCUUCGCUCUGCAGCCAGGUUGGGGCUGGGCUACCAGUGCACACCAGUGCCAGAGAAGGGUUCCACACAAUGUCCCAAUACCCAAUAACUGGCUUGAGCAGGGCAUUUAUCCCUUCAUCUGUGGUAUUCCCACAACUGUUGUCCUCAUUCCCUCCAGCCCCAUCUCCUCCAGUCAACAGACAUUUUCACUUAGCCCAUCAAAGCUCUCCAGUGGAUGCUAAAUCCCUUUUGCUUUGUUUCUUUACUUUUCAAACUGUGUUAUUGUGGGAGGAAAAUUAUCCUUUAUCUGCCCUUCUGCCCUCUCCAGUUGGAUUUCUUUCCAUUUGCUCCUUUUGGUGGUUAAAUUGCAAUCCAAAGCUAAUUAUCUCCUCCUCUCCUCUCCUCUCCUCUCCUCUCCUC